CGGACGGGUGAGUAACGCGUAGGUAACCUGCCCCAUACAGAGGGAUAGCCACUGGAAACGGUGAUUAAUACCUCAUAAAACUAAGAAUACACAUGUAUGCUCAGCCAAAGAUUUAUCGGUAUGGGAUGGACCUGCGUCUGAUUAGUUAGUUGGUGAGGUAACGGCUCACCAAGGCGACGAUCAGUAGCCGACCUGAGAGGGUGAUCGGCCACAUUGGAACUGAGACACGGUCCAAACUCCUACGGGAGGCAGCAG
RNAcentral lists this ribosomal RNA (255 nucleotides) under uncultured bacterium. Its description in RNAcentral is "partial 16S ribosomal RNA". It matches the Rfam family "Bacterial small subunit ribosomal RNA", at positions 99 to 354 of the family's 1533-position model. The record is from RNAcentral.